RNAcentral lists this ribosomal RNA (433 nucleotides) under uncultured bacterium. RNAcentral describes it as "partial 16S ribosomal RNA". It matches the Rfam family "Bacterial small subunit ribosomal RNA", at positions 31 to 507 of the family's 1533-position model. The record is from RNAcentral.
AAAGAAAGAGGGAGGAAGGAAGAAAAUAGGAAAGUUGAACGAGACUUUAGGGUCUAGUGGUGUAUGGGUGAGUAACGCGUGGGAAAAUGUACUUAGGUUGGGAAUAACUCACAGAAAGGGGUGCUAAUAAUGGAUAAUGUCUUCGGACCAAAGAUUUAUCGCCUUUGGAUGGGCCCGCGUUGGAUUAGCUAGUUGGUAGGGUAAAAGCCUACCAAGGCGACGCUCCAUAGCUGGUCUGAGAGGAUGAUCAGCCACACUGGGACUGAGACACGGCCCAGACUCCUACGGGAGGCAGCAGUGGGGAAUAUUGGACAAUGGGCGAAAGCCUGAUCCAGCAAUGCCUCAUGCUUUCUUCCAUCCUUAGUGUUGUAAAGCUCUUUUACCCAGGAUGAUAAUGACAGUACCGGGAGAAUAAGCUCCAACUCACUCCGUC